This 104-nucleotide small nuclear RNA is filed under the name Phocoena sinus (vaquita). Lineage: Eukaryota; Metazoa; Chordata; Mammalia; Artiodactyla; Phocoenidae. The record is from RNAcentral. RNAcentral also lists the same sequence under 1 other name.
GUGCUGGCUUCAGCAGCACAUAUACUAAAAUUGGAACGAUACAGAGAUUAGCAUGGUCCCUGCGCAAGGAUGACAUGCAAAUUUGUGAAGUGUUCCAUAUUUUU